RNAcentral lists this ribosomal RNA (303 nucleotides) under uncultured Fusobacterium sp. RNAcentral's name for it is "bacterial SSU rRNA". It matches the Rfam family "Bacterial small subunit ribosomal RNA", at positions 1212 to 1513 of the family's 1533-position model. The record is from RNAcentral. Lineage: Bacteria; Fusobacteriati; Fusobacteriota; Fusobacteriia; Fusobacteriales; Fusobacteriaceae.
GGCUACACACGUGCUACAAUGGGUAGAACAGAGAGUCACAAAGCUGUGAAGUGGAGCUAAUCUCAGAAAACUAUUCUUAGUUCGGAUUGUACUCUGCAACUCGAGUACAUGAAGUUGGAAUCGCUAGUAAUCGCGAAUCAGCAAUGUCGCGGUGAAUACGUUCUCGGGUCUUGUACACACCGCCCGUCACACCACGAGAGUUGGUUGCACCUGAAGUAGCAGGCCUAACCGUAAGGAGGGAUGCUCCGAGGGUGUGAUUAGCGAUUGGGGUGAAGUCGUAACAAGGUAUCCGUACGGGAACGU